GAUGAUUAUUGGAGGUAGAGCACUGUUUGGACGAGGGGCCCCUCUCGGGUUACCGAAUUCAGACAAACUCCGAAUGCCAAUUAAUUUAACUUGGGAGUCAGAACAUGGGUGAUAAGGUCCGUGUUCGAAAGGGAAACAGCCCAGACCACCAGCUAAGGUCCCAAAAUAUAUGUUAAGUGGAAAAGGAUGUGGCGUUGCCCAGACAACUAGGAUGUUGGCUUAGAAGCAGCCAUCAUUUAAAGAGUGCGUAAUAGCUCACUAGUCGAGUGACACUGCGCCGAAAAUGUACCGGGGCUAAACAUAUUACCGAAGCUGUGGAUUGUCCUUUGGACAAUGGUAGGAGAGCGUUCUAAGGGCGUUGAAGCAUGAUCGUAAGGACAUGUGGAGCGCUUAGAAGUGAGAAUGCCGGUGUGAGUAGCGAAAGACGGGUGAGAAUCCCGUCCACCGAUUGACUAAGGUUUCCAGAGGAAGGCUCGUCCGCUCUGGGUUAGUCGGGUCCUAAGCUGAGGCCGACAGGCGUAGGCGAUGGAUAACAGGUUGAUAUUCCUGUACCACCUAUAAUCGUUUUAAUCGAUGGGGGGACGCAGUAGGAUAGGCGAAGCGUGCGAUUGGAUUGCACGUCUAAGCAGUAAGGCUGAGUAUUAGGCAAAUCCGGUACUCAUUAAGGCUGAGCUGUGAUGGGGAGAAGACAUUGUGUCUUCGAGUCGUUGAUUUCACACUGCCGAGAAAAGCCUCUAGAUAGAAAAUAGGUGCCCGUACCGCAAACCGACACAGGUAGUCAAGAUGAGAAUUCUAAGGUGAGCGAGCGAACUCUCGUUAAGGAACUCGGCAAAAUGACCCCGUAACUUCGGGAGAAGGGGUGCUCUUUAGGGUUAACGCCCAGAAGAGCCGCAGUGAAUAGGCCCAAGCGACUGUUUAUCAAAAACACAGGUCUCUGCUAAACCGUAAGGUGAUGUAUAGGGGCUGACGCCUGCCCGGUGCUGGAAGGUUAAGAGGAGUGGUUAGCUUCUGCGAAGCUACGAAUCGAAGCCCCAGUAAACGGCGGCCGUAACUAUAACGGUCCUAAGGUAGCGAAAUUCCUUGUCGGGUAAGUUCCGACCCGCACGAAAGGCGUAACGAUUUGGGCACUGUCUCAACGAGAGACUCGGUGAAAUCAUAGUACCUGUGAAGAUGCAGGUUACCCGCGACAGGACGGAAAGACCCCGUGGAGCUUUACUGUAGCCUGAUAUUGAAAUUCGGCACAGCUUGUACAGGAUAGGUAGGAGCCUUUGAAACGUGAGCGCUAGCUUACGUGGAGGCGCUGGUGGGAUACUACCCUAGCUGUGUUGGCUUUCUAACCCGCACCACUUAUCGUGGUGGGAGACAGUGUCAGGCGGGCAGUUUGACUGGGGCGGUCGCCUCCUAAAAGGUAACGGAGGCGCUCAAAGGUUCCCUCAGAAUGGUUGGAAAUCAUUCAUAGAGUGUAAAGGCAUAAGGGAGCUUGACUGCGAGACCUACAAGUCGAGCAGGGUCGAAAGACGGACUUAGUGAUCCGGUGGUUCCGCAUGGAAGGGCCAUCGCUCAACGGAUAAAAGCUACCCCGGGGAUAACAGGCUUAUCUCCCCCAAGAGUUCACAUCGACGGGGAGGUUUGGCACCUCGAUGUCGGCUCAUCGCAUCCUGGGGCUGUAGUCGGUCCCAAGGGUUGGGCUGUUCGCCCAUUAAAGCGGUACGCGAGCUGGGUUCAGAACGUCGUGAGACAGUUCGGUCCCUAUCCGUCGUGGGCGUAGGAAAUUUGAGAGGAGCUGUCCUUAGUACGAGAGGACCGGGAUGGACAUACCUCUGGUGUACCAGUUGUCGUGCCAACGGCAUAGCUGGGUAGCUAUGUGUGGACGGGAUAAGUGCUGAAAGCAUCUAAGCAUGAAGCCCCCCUCAAGAUGAGAUUUCCCAACUUCGGUUAUAAGAUCCCUCAAAGAUGAUGAGGUUAAUAGGUUCGAGGUGGAAGCAUGGUGACAUGUGGAGCUGACGAAUACUAA
Molecule: ribosomal RNA, 2014 nt
Filed under: Staphylococcus aureus
Lineage: Bacteria; Bacillati; Bacillota; Bacilli; Caryophanales; Staphylococcaceae
Description: partial 23S ribosomal RNA
Rfam family: Bacterial large subunit ribosomal RNA
Source: RNAcentral